GCGGGAGUGGCGGAAUUGGCAGACGCGCCAGGUUGAGGGCCUGGUGGGAAUUACAUCCCGUGUGGGUUCGAGUCCCACCUCCCGCA
This 86-nucleotide transfer RNA is filed under the name bacterium HR36. It matches the Rfam family "tRNA". Rfam says of the family: Transfer RNA (tRNA) molecules are approximately 80 nucleotides in length. Their secondary structure includes four short double-helical elements and three loops (D, anti-codon, and T loops). The record is from Rfam by way of RNAcentral.